Molecule: long non-coding RNA, 241 nt
Filed under: Homo sapiens (human)
Lineage: Eukaryota; Metazoa; Chordata; Mammalia; Primates; Hominidae
Description: HSALNT0322073
Source: RNAcentral
UGUACAAUCACCAGCGCCAGAUACAGAGGGAAAAAAAGUGCUAGGAAAUAAUUGGAAAAUGUCAACUGACAAAAGCAGAUUGCCUUCAGCAUGGGAUAUGAUGCAGCAAUAGCUGAUCACAUAAAGCCAGUCACUUAGCAGAACAAGCCCUUUUCAUUGGAAUAAAACGUCAUCUAUCAGUAUACUUGGAGGACUGCAAUAUACUUGUAAAUGGUUUCCGCUAAUGUUCAACCAAAGGCAA